Eragrostis curvula (weeping love grass) is the source of this 72-nucleotide non-coding RNA. The record is from the annotation of a GenBank genome assembly. Lineage: Eukaryota; Viridiplantae; Streptophyta; Magnoliopsida; Poales; Poaceae.
GAGAGUGUGGUGCAGUGGUAGAUAAGCUUAAACCUUAAGAGAAGAUUGUGGGUUCGAAUCCCACCGUUCGUG